Molecule: non-coding RNA, 4259 nt
Organism: Heterocephalus glaber (naked mole-rat)
Lineage: Eukaryota; Metazoa; Chordata; Mammalia; Rodentia; Bathyergidae
Source: RefSeq, a predicted model, not a curated record
GGGUGAGGGUGCCGUUGGCCAUGAGAGGGUUGGCAUCUUGUGGCGAGACCCGGACGCGCUCCAGCUGCGCCGAGACGUGGCGCCGUUCCUCCUCCAGCGCCCGGGUCAGCUUCUCAAACUGGGCCUCUUGCUCCUUCACAGAGGCCAAGAUGCUGGCGGUCGACUCCACCUCUGAGUCCUCCAUGAAGCUCAAUAAACAGCCAGCAUCGGAGGACUCCCGUGUGCCUUCGUACAGUAAGCAGCAGUUACUACACACAGCACCUGCGAGUGAGCCCAUGGCAGACACACGGGAGUCACCCUGCAGGCUCGGGGUGCUCCCUGACAAGCUGCAGAGACACUGUGGCCAGUCCAAGACACACUGGGGGGGCAAGAGGGUCGUAACGGACUGGUCUAACACAGAGAACAGCCCAGUCUAGAUUCAAAAAAACCACGAAGAAGCAUCCCAGCACCACAGCAAGGAGGAAGCAGAGGAGAGAGCUGCAGAGAUAUUUGGAGGAAAAUUGAGAAUGGGAGGAAAAUUGAGAAUGAGAGGAAAAUAAAAUAUACCCCAUGCGUGAACCCAAGAGAGCCAGAGGUGUCGGGGACGUGAGGAGUAACUGGAACAGACUUGGCCUUGCUGAGUGUGACAAGCGCCCUCGGCUCUGCUGCACCAGCCCCGGGACCCAGGCAGGUCUCACUAGAGCACGGAUCCGAAUGUCGAGGCUCAGUGCUGGACCCGUGCUGCCUGCCCAGCAGAACCAGGGACAGCUUGCGAUGCGGACAGAAGCCCACAAGGCCCUGCUGCAUGGUGGGGGAAAUCUUGGCUGGAAAGCCCUUCCUCUCCUUCCCUCCCCUAAGGCAGAAACCUCCCUCCAAAGCCGACCCAUCAUCCCCGCAAUCACAUUGGGAAACAGCCGACAGCGGCAGCAUGGUGAGGACAAGUGAGGACUAGCUUAGGCCGGGCCUUUCGCUCAGGUUCCUGUUCCCACGCUCCGCAGGGCCCCACCAAGCACAGAGGGCUGCAGCGCUCAGCAGCAAGAGUGCCGGAGGGAGGCUGGGGAGCAGACCAAGGGACUUGUGCAGGCGUCCAGCCCCUAGCCCAGGCAACACAGGCCCUUCCUACAUCCCUGCCCAGCGCUGGGCGCUCUGGGCUCCCGUCACUGCUGACCAGAUCCUGUUCUUUCAGUCCAAGGUGCCUGCCCAUUUCUCAUAUUCCCACCCUUUAUUCCAGCAGGCCCUCUGACCGGGGUCUUUCUUUAAUAAGCACCCUAUUUUUCAAAAGUGCUCCCCUUUCAUCUCCACUUCCUCAUCUCAAGCACUUGCCCUUACCGCUAGGUACCAUGACCCGUGAACCUUGCACACCCGAGAUUCUCCGUGACGCCAUGGAACAGGGCCUGCACUACACUCUGUACUCACAGCCUGCACCCUGCAAUGUUGCUUGCUCACCAACGCCCAGACAGCCACCGCCCGGACAGAGACAACACUCCUAGGGGCACCCUGCCAUUGAGGGCCACUUUUGGCCCCCACAACUCUAACUCAAUAGAGGGACUGGACAGGAAGGAAGGAAACUACCCAGGCCUCGGUCCGGAGCGGUGUCUGGAGAAGGCGACCCCAGGGCUAGGCAAGGGAGAGCACAAGUUGAAAGGGCCCUGGGGCUCCACCGCAGGCCCAGCCCAGACUGCGUGCAAGGCAGUAUCGCCAGCCAUCUACUCUGCCGCCCUGAAGACAGGGGAGACACUGUGAGUUACACACAGUGUCACGUCGCACUAAACUAAGAGCAAAGGCCAAGCUGAUGUGGGAAAAAGGAAGCGGGCAGCCAGCAUCAGACUGAGGGCAGGGAUUGUUCCACACUCUCGAGAUCCUCCCACACUCCUUUCUUGGGCCUGCUAAAAGCGCUGAGGACCAAACCCUAAUCUCAGGAGUCUAUGAUGCAAUGGGAGCCCAGUCUAAACCAGCACAAUUCAGAAGGAUCAGUUCUCACCUGGACCUGGUACAACCAGGGGGAGCACUGGGGCGGGAAUGUACACAACAGUCAGCCAUUCCAGGCUUGGAAAGAAAGCCAGAGCCAGCAACAGUACUACUAGCUUAGAACACAACUUCCGCAGCAAGUCUUGGCCACUGUAAAGUCUGUCCUGGAGCACACAAAAGCCAAAGUUUAAGAUCUCCUAUUUAGGGGGCGGGGGAUUUAGUUCAGCAGCACUGCACCUUGCCUUGCAAGCGCAAGGUCCUCAGUUCAAUCUCCUACCCAGGACCAAAUCAGACUGGCUUCCUUUCUCUCUCAAGAAUACUGACGCUGGGCCUAGUGGCACACACCUGUAAUCCCAGCACUUGGGAGGAUCGUUCAGAGUUUGAGGCCAGCCUGGACCACAUAACAAGAUCUUGUCUCAAAUAAAACCCAAGAGAAGAAAGAGAUACCUGAUGCUCCUUUGCUCAUGGCAUAGACCAAAUAUACCAGGCUCCAGCACCAGUGUGCACACAAGAACUCAAAAGCAGUAGCUGGCGUCUAAGGGAGCAGUUUUCUGAGGCACUUAAAAAAGAAAAAGUUGUGAAGGACCCAGCCCAGACAGGGCACUCCACACGCCCUCAUCAAUGCUGCUGUGGCCUGCAGAGGGUGCCUGGCAGGUUCUGUGCUUCACCCGAACAGGUGAGACAGAAAGGAGUGCUGACUCAGAAACAGUCACCCUGCCGUGUGAGGGCCGGGAACAGCCAGCCCGAGGAGUAAUGAAUGGGUGAGGAGAAAGUCACUGAGGGUGCUGGACGUGCCACCACAGGACGGAUGAAACGCUGGCUGUCCAGCUUCCCACACCACUCUCCGCCACUCUCCAGAGGGCCCAGAGCUGGCAGCACUGGAGGAAGGGGAGGCAGAGAAAAGAAUGUGACCGGGAGCAGUCAGCUACAUUCCAGCUGACCAACAUCCCACACAGUACGAGGAUGCCUAAGACUCAACCCCACCAGAUCCUGGGGCUCUGUUGUGUGGCUCCAGUUCCUCCACACCCCUCACCCUCCAGCCCUCGGGCUGAGGAAGGCACCAGCUGUUUCCGCCACGAGCCCUCCCCCACCUCCCAAGACUUGCAGUUCAAACUCACAUCAAACACUCAGACAACUGCCUGGUCAGUUGGAAGAAGCCUGGCCUAAAAUAGCAGGAAGGGUGCCAACUGGCCCCACUCAGAAGGAACGAGCUCUUGGUUCAAUGGUAAAUAAAAAAACUUUUGUUAUCCACUCCCUUCUGCCCAAUCAUGUUCUUUCUACAACCUAACCCUCAGUGUCAGAUGGGUUUCAGUCCCUCCCUACAACUCCUUGGUUUAUUUUCAAAUAUCAGAGAACACAGGGGAGGUGUGAACAAACUAAAUGUAAAACAACAUCUGGGCGAUCAGGUUUCCUGGCCUGCUAAAGCUACACCGAGUGCAGGACUCCCGUGUAAACGAGGGGAGACAAGGGUGCACACAGCAGAGGGGCAGCCACACCUCAUCAGUGAUGGAGACACAAUUUCCUACAGCAAAGGCAACUGGCUGUGAGCAGCACGACCAGCUUCUCCCCCACCCAAGUUCCAAGCUGGCCAGAGUUAGGCAAGGAGGAAGCGAAGGAAGCCAGCACUUCCUUUUCAGACAGGAAGUAAACUGGCCUUUCCUGUCCAGUUUUAAACAAAUUGUCCAGCUAAGUUUCAAUGCUGACAUCCUCUCCUGAAUUUGUUCCACAAUUUCAAAAUGGAGACGCGGCCUACAAGUUUCCCUUCCCCACAACAGGCGCGUCCCCCACACCAUGGGAAGUGCUAGCCUAACCUCCACACCAGGGGUAACAUUUGCCGCUCAAAAGCAACACAGGACAGAGGUCGAUCAGUCCAGACCCCUCUGCCCAUGUCUACUGUGGGAACCGCAGGUCUUCUGGGCUUCUCCUGCUACUGAAAUAACCACUACCUGAGAAACGGCAUGGAGCCUAACUCAAAGGUUCAGGUUAUAUGGUCCUCGAAACUGACCAUCAGAACACAAUCACCUGGGAAGCUUUUUGGAAAAAAACAGUCCCUGAGCUCAACUGUCGGAGAGGGUCUAGAAAUUCUGUGUUAAGCUCAUUUUUCUGUUGUUUGCUUCUUAGCAGUACAUAGGGCCUCCACACUGAGCCAUGUCCCCUGGCCCUUUUUGUUCGUUUGUUUUGAGACAGGCUCUUGCUGAAUCCAGGCUGGACUCACAAGCCAUCCUCCUGACUCUGCCUUUCAUUAUGCUGGGAUUAUAAACGUGUGCCACCACAUCAGUGUGGAAAUUCAUGUUUUGAGGCCGGGGAUUUAG